This 1266-nucleotide ribosomal RNA is filed under the name wastewater metagenome. RNAcentral's name for it is "bacterial LSU rRNA". It matches the Rfam family "Bacterial large subunit ribosomal RNA", at positions 1641 to 2925 of the family's 2925-position model. The record is from RNAcentral.
CCCGUACCGUAAACCGACACAGGUAGUCGAGGAGAGUAUCCUAAGGCGCUCGAGUGAUCCGUGGCUAAGGAACUAGGCAAAAUGGUCUCGUAACUUCGGGAGAAGAGACUCCCCUCGUGAGAGGGGACGCAGUGAAGAGGCCCAGGCGACUGUUUAACAAAAACACAGGACUCUGCAAAAUCGUAAGAUGAAGUAUAGGGUCUGACACCUGCCCGGUGCUGGAAGGUUAAGGAAGGGGGUUAGUGCGUAAGUGCGAAGCUCUUAACUGAAGCCCCAGUAAACGGCGGCCGUAACUAUAACGGUCCUAAGGUAGCGAAAUUCCUUGUCGGGUAAGUUCCGACCUGCACGAAUGGUGUAACGAUCUGGGCGCUGUCUCAGCCACGAGCUCGGUGAAAUUGAAGUAUCGGUGAAGAUGCCGAUUACCCGCAACGGGACGGAAAGACCCCGUGAACCUUUACUACAACUUCACAUUGAGCUUGAAUACAGGAUGUGUAGGAUAGGUGGGAGGCUACGAAGCUGUGACGCUAGUCAUGGUGGAGCCAACGUUGAAAUACCACCCUUCCUGUAUUUAGGUUCUAAUCCCUAAAAGGGAAACAGUGUGUGGUGGGUAGUUUGACUGGGGUGGUCGCCUCCAAAAAAGUAACGGAGGCUCGCAAAGGUACACUCAGCAUGGUCGGUAAUCAUGCGAAGAGCGUAUUAGUAUAAGUGUGCUUGACUGAGAGACCGACGGGUCGAUCAGGAACGAAAGUUGGCUAAAGUGAUCCGGUGUUUCCGCAUGGAAGGGACAUCGCUCAAAGGAUAAAAGGUACUCCGGGGAUAACAGGCUGAUCCUACCCAAGAGCUCAUAUCGACGGUAGGGUUUGGCACCUCGAUGUCGGCUCGUCACAUCCUGGGGCUGGAGAAGGUCCCAAGGGUUGGGCUGUUCGCCCAUUAAAGUGGCACGCGAGCUGGGUUCAGAACGUCGCAAGACAGUUCGGUCCCUAUCUGUUGUGGGCGCAGGAAUAUUGAAGGGAGCUGAUUCUAGUACGAGAGGACCGAAUUGGACGUACCGCUAGUGUACCGGUUGUGGCGCCAGCUGCACCGCCGGGUAGCUAUGUACGGCAAGGAUAAGCGCUGAAAGCAUCUAAGCGCGAAGCCAUCCCUAAGAUGAGUAUUCCAGCACGUAAGUGUAAAGGACCCCAGAAGACUACUGGGUUGAUAGGUUAUAGGUGGAAGUGCAGUAAUGUGCGUAGCCGAGUAAUACUAAUUGUCCGACAGCUUCCUUUU